Molecule: long non-coding RNA, 2251 nt
Organism: Cyprinus carpio carpio
Lineage: Eukaryota; Metazoa; Chordata; Actinopteri; Cypriniformes; Cyprinidae
Source: Ensembl
UACCUUAUUAUAAUUACAAUGUUGAAGAUGUAAUUAGUAGCUAGUAAUUAAUUUCUUAUUUAGAGCAGCUUAUCCAAAGACAAUUGCAAUGUCAUUAAAAAUGUUUAAUUACAAAUAUAUUUAAAUAAACGACAUCCAAGAUUCAUUAGAAAUUACAUGACAUGUUGUUGUUGUUGUUCUUUUUAUAAGUACCAAAAAUACUUGUCAGUGCAUUAAGCAAUACACUAUAACUAUAUUUUAACGGCAAUAGAAUUAUGAAAUUACAGAAAACUGUACUUAAGUAAACAAAAAAAAAAAAACAAUCAGCUAAUUACAUUUCAUGUAAAUUAUAACUAUAAUACAUUUUAAAUUAUAUGUCAGAAAAAAUCACAUUUAGUUUGCACUUAACUAUAUUCUUCUAAAAUAUAUUAUUAUACUGUUAAUAGUAUUUUUUGAAAAUAUGCUAAAGUGUACUCCGAUGCCAUAUGGGAUAGUAUGAUUGACUGGUUGCACACUUAAAAAUCUAAUGCACUGCAUCAUACUGUAUGUCUCAUGAAUAUUGAGUUUUUAUACAUUAUACUCAUUUGACAUGCUGCUUUUUGCAUACUGUGUUGCAGGAAAAUGAGCAUAUUCAGAUGCAGGAUUAGUGGCCCUUAUUAGGGUGGUCUUCAUCACCUAAACAGUUGAGUAUGAGUGUGUGAGCGAGAGCGAGAGAGAGACAGAGAAAGAUGAAGAAAGAGUGCAUCCCAGACUGGGACUUCAUCCAUCAUUGGAAUCAGCAUGUGCUGUAAUUACUGUGUCAAAUAGAUGGGAAGAUGCCUUUGAGGAGGAUGGCGGCUAUGUGUGUGUGUGCACUUGUGCAUCUCCCUCCUGAUCAUUUUCCUUUCCCGAGUCACUUCCUCCUGCACUGUCAUCUGUCAUGCCUACAUAUGCUGUCACCAAGAGCUGGCGACUCUGGCCAAUCCCUCCACUGCAGAAACAGCAGGAUUUCAUACACGCUGAAGAGAGUCCCGGGGCCAUAUGGCUCAGCUGGAGCUACCAGGAGUGCCCAGGCGAAACCAUGAGGUGGAAACGGUUUACUCGCUCCAUUGAUUCAGAGUGCUAUCAAAGAAGCCCUACCCCCACCCCACCACUCCGCUGCCCCAGGCCUGAGACAGAGAUGAAGGGCCUGUUAUGUCAAUUAACCAACCCGACCCAUGUGCUUGGCUGCGAUUCAAGGUUGCACGGGAGGAGUUCAACUGCUUAAAGGGAAGGCUAGUAUUAGAACGGUGGAGUUAUUCAUGUCACCAAGUAUUUCCCCAACAACUGCUGCAGACCACAUGCGAUCGAGCCUCAGACUGGGAGAGAUUAUUCCUUCGCUCCUGUAAAUGUUUUGAUGGAUGAAGUCUUCCUGAUUUCACAUCUAUCUCCCAGGUCUGUGGUCCACUGAAGGACUUGUGCAAAUAAAUUGGCUAUAACAAACAGGAAGGCCCCGCUGUUUUAUGAGGACCAGCUAGAGCGUGAACACACAUACAUAUUUCACUAUGUAGUAGUCUUUCAGUCUUUCUUGCUACAAAAAAAAAAAAGAGCCCUAUUUAAUGUCAAUUGUUUCUAUUGGACAUGAGAAAAAGAUGAGUAAUAUCAAAUUGUGGAGAUUUGCCAAGACUGCAAUCAUAAUCAAAAAGAUCUCAAUUAUUCUUUUGCAUCAAAUUCUCCAGUGUUAUUUUAGUACUGUUUGUAUACUGUUAUAGUCAUUAUUCAUAUUUAAAAUUUGCUUUUAUAUUUUCAAAUCAAACUUUUAAUUUUAGUAAUUUUGUCCUGCUUUUUUCAUCUUCAUUAUUAGUAGUAGUAGUAGUAGUAGUAGUAGUAGUAGUAGUAUUAGUAUUAGUAUUAGUAUUAGUAUUAGUAUAUCUUUUUUCCAGUUUUAAGUUUGGGUAGCUUAUUUCAGUUGUAGUUGCCAAGGCAGCAUUUCUAACUUUUAAGUUAGUUAAUUAGUUUCCAUCUAAUAUUUUAUUUAUUUAUUUAUUUAUUUAUUUAUUUAUUUAUUUAUUUAUUUGUUUGUUUGUUUGUUUGUUUGUUUGUUUGUUUGUUUGUUUGUUUUAUUUUUAUUUAUUUAAUUUUAUUAUUUUCAACUUCCAAAAAUUAUUUUUAAAAGUUUUAGUUGCAGUUUAAGUCAACAAUAACAACACUGAAAUUAUCCCAAGACCAGAUGAUCUGAGCUGCAAUCCACAUUCAUUUUCUAUCAUUGUAAUGUUACUGUAUGCCAACUGUUGUCUCAUUUCUUAUUUUUUUC